GAGUUUGAUCCUGGCUCAGGACGAACGCUGGCGGUAUGCUUAACACAUGCAAGUCGAACGAGAAGGAAGAGCUUGCUCUUCCUGAAAGUGCCGAACGGGUGAGUAACGCGUGGGUAACCUACCCUUUGGAAAGGAAUAGCCUCGGGAAACUGGGAGUAAUGCCUUAUAAGAUACGUUUGUCGCAUGGCAUUUGUAUUAAACGCUCCGGCGCCAUAGGAUGGACCCGCGUCCCAUUAGCUAGUUGGUGAGAUAACAGCUCACCAAGGCCACGAUGGGUAACCGGUCUGAGAGGGCGAACGGUCACACUGGAACUGAGACACGGUCCAGACUCCUACGGGAGGCAGCAGUGGGGAAUAUUGCGCAAUGGGGGCAACCCUGACGCAGCAAUACCGCGUGAGUGAAGAAGGUUUUCGGAUCGUAAAGCUCUGUUAUUGGGGAAGAAAAAAAGACGGUACCCAAGAAGAAAGUUCCGGCUAACUACGUGCCAGCAGCCGCGGUAAUACGUAGGGAACAAGCGUUGUCCGGAUUUACUGGGCGUAAAGGGCACGCAGGCGGUUUUUUAAGUCAGAUGUGAAAGGCCACAGCUCAACUGUGGACAUGCAUUUGAAACUGAAAGACUUGAGUAUUGGAGAGGCAAGUGGAAUUCCUAGUGUAGCGGUGAAAUGCGUAGAUAUUAGGAGGAACACCGGUGGCGAAGGCGGCUUGCUGGA
RNAcentral lists this ribosomal RNA (710 nucleotides) under uncultured bacterium. RNAcentral's name for it is "bacterial SSU rRNA". It matches the Rfam family "Bacterial small subunit ribosomal RNA", at positions 9 to 733 of the family's 1533-position model. The record is from RNAcentral.